GCGAUGGGAUGCGAAUCUCGAAAGCCUGUCUCAGUUCGGAUUGGAGGCUGAAACCCGCCUCCAUGAAGUUGGAUUCGCUAGUAAUCGCGCAUCAGCCAUGGCGCGGUGAAUACGUUCCCGGGCCUUGUACACACCGCCCGUCAAGCCAUGGAAGCUGGGGGUGCCUGAAGUUCGUGACCGGAAGGAGCGACCUAGGGCAAAACCGGUGACUGGGGCUAAGUCGUAACAAGGUACC
RNAcentral lists this ribosomal RNA (235 nucleotides) under uncultured bacterium. RNAcentral's name for it is "partial 16S ribosomal RNA". It matches the Rfam family "Bacterial small subunit ribosomal RNA", at positions 1257 to 1500 of the family's 1533-position model. The record is from RNAcentral.